This 429-nucleotide ribosomal RNA is filed under the name uncultured Methanomicrobiales archaeon. RNAcentral's name for it is "bacterial SSU rRNA". It matches the Rfam family "Archaeal small subunit ribosomal RNA", at positions 910 to 1338 of the family's 1478-position model. The record is from RNAcentral. Lineage: Archaea; Methanobacteriati; Methanobacteriota; Methanomicrobia; Methanomicrobiales.
ACUCAACGCCGGGAAACUCACCAGAUAAGACAGCUGAAUGAUAGUCGGGCUGAAGACUCUACUUGACUAGCUGAGAGGAGGUGCAUGGCCGUCGUCAGUUCGUACUGUGAAGCAUCCUGUUAAGUCAGGCAACGAGCGAGACCCACGCCAACAGUUGCCAGCUCGUCCUCCGGGAUGGUGGGGACACUGUUGGGACCGCCUCUGCUAAAGAGGAGGAAGGAAUGGGCAACGGUAGGUCAGCAUGCCCCGAAUUAUCUGGGCUACACGCGGGCUACAAUGGGUGGGACAAUGGGUAUCGACACCGAAAGGCGAAGGCAAUCUCCUAAACCCAUCCGUAGUUCGGAUUGUGGGCUGCAACUCGCCCACAUGAAGCUGGAAUCUGUAGUAAUCGUGUCUCAAAAUGGCACGGUGAAUAUGUCCCUGCUCCUU